This 436-nucleotide unclassified non-coding RNA is filed under the name uncultured bacterium. RNAcentral describes it as "contains 16S-23S intergenic spacer region". It matches the Rfam family "Bacterial small subunit ribosomal RNA", at positions 957 to 1393 of the family's 1533-position model. The record is from RNAcentral.
UAACGCGAAGAACCUUACCUGGUCUUGACAUCCACAGAACCUUGUAGAGAUACGAGGGUGCCUUCGGGAACUGUGAGACAGGUGCUGCAUGGCUGUCGUCAGCUCGUGUUGUGAAAUGUUGGGUUAAGUCCCGCAACGAGCGCAACCCUUAUCCUUUGUUGCCAGCGGUCCGGCCGGGAACUCAAAGGAUACUGCCAGUGAUAAACUGGAGGAAGGUGGGGAUGACGUCAAGUCAUCAUGGCCCUUACGACCAGGGCUACACACGUGCUACAAUGGCGCAUACAAAGAGAAGCGACUUCGCGAGAGCAAGCGGACCUCAUAAAGUGCGUCGUAGUCCGGAUUGGAGUCUGCAACUCGACUCCAUGAAGUCGGAAUCGCUAGUAAUCGUGGAUCAGAAUGCCACGGUGAAUACGUUCCCGGGUCUUGUACACACCGA